GAUGAAGAACGUAGUGAAAUGCGAUACUUGGUGUGAAUUGCAGAAUCCCGUGAACCAUCGAGUCUUUGAACGCAAGUUGCGCCCGAAGCCACUAGGCCGAGGGCACGCCUGCCUGGGCGUCACACGCCGUUGCCCCCCCAUCUACUCCUUCGGGAUUGCGGGGGGGCGGAUGAUGGCCUCCCGUGCGCCUAGCCGCGCGGUUGGCAUAAAUACCAAGUCCUCGGCGACGCACGCCACGACAAUCGGUGGUUGCGAAACCUCGGUUGCCCGUCGUGUGCGUUCGUCGCGCAUCGAGGGCUCGAAAAAAUGCUCGGCUCCGGCUGGGCUUUCAACGCGACCCCAGGUCAGGCGGGGUUACCCGCUGAAUUUAAGCAUAUCAAUAGCGGAGGA
RNAcentral lists this unclassified non-coding RNA (390 nucleotides) under soil metagenome. RNAcentral's name for it is "partial contains 5.8S ribosomal RNA, internal transcribed spacer 2, and large subunit ribosomal RNA". The stretch from base 1 to 122 matches the Rfam family "5.8S ribosomal RNA", at positions 35 to 154 of the family's 154-position model. The record is from RNAcentral.